This 793-nucleotide ribosomal RNA is filed under the name uncultured archaeon. RNAcentral describes it as "bacterial SSU rRNA". It matches the Rfam family "Archaeal small subunit ribosomal RNA", at positions 85 to 879 of the family's 1478-position model. The record is from RNAcentral.
ACGGCUCAGUAACACGUGGACAACUUACCCAAGAGUCCGGGAUAACCCCGGGAAACUGGGGAUAAUACCGGAUAGAUCAUCUUUGCUGGAAGGCUUGGUGGUUGAAACUUCCGGGGCUUUUGGAUGGGUCUGCGGCUGAUUAGGUUGUUGCCGGUGUAACGUACCGUCAAGCCUGUAAUCAGUACGGGUUGUGGGAGCAAGAGCCCGGAGAUGGAUUCUGAGACACGAAUCCAGGCCCUACGGGGCGCAGCAGGCGCGAAAACUCUACAAUGCAGGCAACUGCGAUAGGGGAACAUCGAGUGGUCCUCAUAUUGGGGGUCUGUCCACCCGUCUAAAAAACGGGUGUUAGCAGGGGCCGGGCAAGACCGGUGCCAGCCGCCGCGGUAAUACCGGCGGCUCGAGUGGUGGCCGAUAUUAUUGAGUCUAAAGGGUCCGUAGCCGGCUUUGCAAGUCUCUCGGGAAAUCCAGCGGCUUAACCGUUGGUCGUCCGGGGGGUACUACAUUGCUUGGGACUGGGAGAGGUAGGAGGUACUCAGGGGGUAGGAGUGAAAUCCUGUAAUCCUUUGGGGACCACCGGUGGCGAAGGCGUCCUACCAGAACAGGUCCGACGGUGAGGGACGAAAGCUAGGGGCACGAACCGGAUUAGAUACCCGGGUAGUCCUAGCCGUAAACGAUGCUCGCUAGGUGUCACAACAGUCGUGAAUUGUUGUGGUGCCGUAGGGAAGCCGUGAAGCGAGCCACUUGGGAAGUACGACCGCAAGGUUGAAACUUAAAGGAAUUGGCGGGGGAGCAC